Molecule: ribosomal RNA, 253 nt
Filed under: uncultured bacterium
Lineage: Bacteria
Description: partial 16S ribosomal RNA
Rfam family: Bacterial small subunit ribosomal RNA
Source: RNAcentral
UACAGAGGGUGCGAGCGUUAAUCGGAAUUACUGGGCGUAAAGCGUGCGUAGACGGUAGCGUAAGUCAGAUGUGAAAGCCCCGGGCUCAACCUGGGAAUUGCAUUUGAGACUGCUCUGCUCGGGUGCGGAAGAGGGAAGCGGAAUUUCCGGUGUAGCGGCGAAAUGCGUAGAUAUCGGAAGGAACACCAGUGGCGAAAGCGGCUUCCUGGUCCGACACCGACGUUCAGGCACGAAAGCGUGGGGAGCAAACAGG